Long non-coding RNA from Homo sapiens (human), 569 nucleotides. The record is from Ensembl. Lineage: Eukaryota; Metazoa; Chordata; Mammalia; Primates; Hominidae.
GAAAGACGAAAGAAGGAACUGUUACAUUUUGCAUGCAAAGAAAGCCAGAGUGGCUAGAUUACUCCCUUAGGGUAAUGGAGAAAGGAAAAAGAAAUUGAAAAAGGUCAGGUGAACAAAGCAGAAGGAAUGAAGAGGUUUGUGUGAUUCUUAGUGAAAUUGGACCAGUCUAAGCAACCAGACAGAAAAGUGACAACUUAAAAACUUUCUUUAAACAUAUCACUCUGACACCAAUGUGUAAGAUGAAGUGGACAGGAAUGGAACUGUACUGGGAGGCUCUGACAGUUCGGGUGAGAAGAAAUGAAGGGUCCUGUAAGCAGAUGAGCAGAUGAACAGAAGAGCAGAAGAGCAGCACAGCCGAGAAGGAAUGAAUGGCACAGCAGAGAAGGAGAGAAGAGAAGGAGCAUCUGAACGUUGAGAGUUCAACUAGAAAUGGUCAGAGAGGAGACUGAUCAUGGGAUAGCCAAACUCCAGGAGAAGAUUAUGUUCCCACUCCAUCCCCUUUCCAGAUCCCCAAUCCAUCCCUCUGAGAGCCACCUCUACCACUCGAUAAAACCCCUGCAUUUACCAUC